Molecule: transfer RNA, 70 nt
Filed under: Oryzias uwai
Lineage: Eukaryota; Metazoa; Chordata; Actinopteri; Beloniformes; Adrianichthyidae
Description: tRNA-Ile
Rfam family: tRNA
About the family: Transfer RNA (tRNA) molecules are approximately 80 nucleotides in length. Their secondary structure includes four short double-helical elements and three loops (D, anti-codon, and T loops).
Source: RNAcentral
GGAGCUGUGCCUGACAAAAGGGCCACUUUGAUAGAGUGAACCAUGAGGGUUAAAAUCCCUCCAUCUCCUU